UGGGGAAUAUUGGACAAUGGGGGGAACCCUGAUCCAGCCAUGCCGCGUGUGUGAAGAAGGCCUUAUGGUUGUAAAGCACUUUAAGCGAGGAGGAGGGUACUGGUAUUAAUACUACCAGCUACUGGACGUUACUCGCAGAAUAAGCACCGGCUAACUCUGUGCCAGCAGCCGCGGUAAUACAGAGGGUGCGAGCGUUAAUCGGAUUUACUGGGCGUAAAGCGUGCGUAGGCGGCUAAUUGAGUCGGAUGUGAAAUCCCCGAGCUUAACUUGGGAAUUGCAUUCGAUACUGGUUAGCUAGAGUGUGGGAGAGGAUGGUAGAAUUCCAGGUGUAGCGGUGAAAUGCGUAGAGAUCUGGAGGAAUACCGAUGGCGAAGGCAGCCAUCUGGCCUAACACUGACGCUGAGGUACGAAAUCGUGGGGAGCAAACAGG
Molecule: ribosomal RNA, 430 nt
Filed under: Pseudomonadota bacterium
Lineage: Bacteria; Pseudomonadati; Pseudomonadota
Description: Proteobacteria bacterium partial 16S ribosomal RNA
Rfam family: Bacterial small subunit ribosomal RNA
Source: RNAcentral